Molecule: transfer RNA, 73 nt
Filed under: Camelus bactrianus (Bactrian camel)
Lineage: Eukaryota; Metazoa; Chordata; Mammalia; Artiodactyla; Camelidae
Also listed under: 1 other name
Rfam family: tRNA
About the family: Transfer RNA (tRNA) molecules are approximately 80 nucleotides in length.
Source: Rfam by way of RNAcentral
GAGGGUAUAGCUCAACUGGUAGAGUGCAUGCUUGGCAUGCACACGGUCCUGGGUUCAAUCCCCAGCACCUCCU